CCAGAUCGUGGCUGAUGAAGAGAUAGGUCAGGUUCAGGUCCUGGCGCAGGCGCAUGAACAGGUUCAGCACCUGGGCCUGGA
RNAcentral lists this transfer RNA (81 nucleotides) under Cupriavidus yeoncheonensis. RNAcentral's name for it is "tRNA-Leu". The record is from RNAcentral. Lineage: Bacteria; Pseudomonadati; Pseudomonadota; Betaproteobacteria; Burkholderiales; Burkholderiaceae.